RNAcentral lists this transfer-messenger RNA (357 nucleotides) under Clostridia bacterium. It matches the Rfam family "transfer-messenger RNA". Rfam says of the family: Bacterial tmRNA, also known as 10Sa RNA or SsrA, is named for its dual tRNA and mRNA-like properties. Its role is to liberate the mRNA from a stalled ribosome. The record is from RNAcentral. Lineage: Bacteria; Bacillati; Bacillota; Clostridia.
GGGGAUGCAACGGGUUCGACCGGGUGCGGAAGCGUAGGUAUAAGCACGUCGUAGGUAUCGUCUACGCAAAAACGAUAAACUAAAUUUAUCUGCAAAAACUAAUAAUUUUGCACUCGCUGCUUAAUUUUAGCGAGCGUCGCCUUAAAGUUUUCGAUUGGCUUUAAGAGCGGUGUGAUCAUUAAAUCGACAACUCUUUUUCUCGUUUGACUGCGCGAAUAAAAGAGUAUUAAAGCGGUCGGCGGCAUAAAAUAGCCUGUCUUUCGGCGGUUUAUGCAAGGGGAUAAAGAAAGAAUAAGCGUGUAGAAAACUUACGGGUCCGUAUGCGACACAGGAGUUCGACUCUCCUCAUCUCCACCA